GAAAUGCGAUAAGUAAUGUGAAUUGAAGAAUUCAGUGAAUCAUCGAAUCUUUGAACGCACCUUGCGCUCCUUGGUAUUCCUUGGAGCAUGCCUGUUUGAGUAUCAUGAAAUCUUCAAAGUAAAUCUUUUGUUAACUCAAUUGGUUUCUACUUUGGUAUUGGAGGUCUUUGCAGCUUCACACCUGCUCCUCUUUGUUCAUUAGCUGGAUCUCAGUGUUAUGCUUGGUUCCACUCGGCGUGAUAAGUUAUCUAUCGCUGAGGACACUGUAAAAGGUGGCCAAGGUAAAUGCAGAUGAACCGCUUCUAAUAGUCCAUUGACUUGGACAAUACUUUUAUGAUCUGAUCUCAAAUCAGGUAGGACUACCCGCUGAACUUAAGC
Molecule: unclassified non-coding RNA, 378 nt
Filed under: plant metagenome
Description: partial contains 5.8S ribosomal RNA, internal transcribed spacer 2, and large subunit ribosomal RNA
Rfam family: 5.8S ribosomal RNA (bases 1-105)
Source: RNAcentral